UCUCCUCGAAAUAGCUUUAGGGCUAGCCUCAUGGAUCAUUGGUGGGGGUAGAGCACUGAAUGUGCGCGGGGGCCACAAAGCCUACCAAACGCUAUCAAACUUCGAAUACCAUACAAUGCAGACCAUGGGAGUCAGUCCGCGAGAGAUAAGUUCCGCGGGCAAAAGGGGAACACCCCAGAUCAACCGCUAAGGUCCCCAAGUUCACGUUAAGUGGAGAAGGAUGUGGAAUUGCACAGACAACCAGGAUGUUGGCUCAGAAGCAGCCACACAUUUAAAGAGUGCGUAAUAGCUCACUGGUCGAGUGAUUGUGCGCCGAAGAUGUCCGGGGCUAAACGUGACACCGAAGCGAUGGGUGCAUCUGAAGAAGAUGCGCGGUAGAGGAGCAAUGUGCAGAGGCAGAAGCCGUAUCGAGAGGCACGGUGGACACUGCACAAGAGAGAAUGCCGGUAUGAGUAGCGAGAGGCAUGCGAGAAACAUGCCCGUCGAAAGCCCAAGGUUUCCUGGGGAAGGUUCAUCCGCCCAGGGUAAGUCGGGGCCUAAGCCGAGGACGGAAGUCGUAGGCGAUGGACAGCAGGUGUAGAUUCCUGCACUACCGAUGGAAUGAAGCAGUGACACAGAAGGAUAACUCGAGCAGGGUGAUGGUCAACCCUGUGCAAGCAUCAAGGUUGGGUUGUAGUGAAGUACGCAACCCUAUAAGCUGAGAUGUGAUGCGGACCGAAAUUUCAGUAGGGAAGCGAGUGAGUUCACGCUGGCGAGAAAAGCUGCUAGUACAUCCAAAGGUACCCGUACCGGAAACCGACGCAGGUGGGCGAGGAGAGAAUCCUGAGACGAACGGGAGAACCCUUGUUAAGGAACUCGGCAAAAUGACCCCGUAACUUCGGGAUAAGGGGUGCCUGCGAGAGCAGGCCGCAGAGAAUAGUCACAAGCGACUGUUUAGCAAAAACACAGGUAUCUGCGAAAGCGAGAGCUGACGUAUAGGUGCUGACACCUGCCCGGUGCUGGAAGGUUAAGGGAACAUGUUAGAGCAAUCGAAGCAUCGAACCGAAGCCCCAGUAAACGGCGGCCGUAACUAUAACGGUCCUAAGGUAGCGAAAUUCCUUGUCGGGUAAGUUCCGACCCGCACGAAUGGUGUAACGACUUGUGAGCUGUCUCAACAGGGGGCCCGGUGAAAUUGAAGUAUGGGUGAAGAUGCCCAUUACCCGCGACUGGACGGAAAGACCCCGUAGAGCUUUACUGCAGCCUGAUAUUGAGUUUCGGUAACUGAUGCACAGGAUAGGUGGGAGUCUGAGAGACAUGGGUUUCGGCUCAUGUGGAGACGGUGUUGGGAUACCACUCUUCGGUUACUGAAAUUCUAACAUAGCUCUGUGAAACCAGAGGAUGGACAGUGUCAGGUGGACAGUUUGACUGGGGCGGUCGCCUCCGAAAGAGUAACGGAGGCGCCCAAAGGUACCCUCAGAAUGGAUGGAAACCAUUCGAAGAGCGCAAAGGCAGAAGGGUGCCUGACUGCGAGAGUGACAACUCGAGCAGAGACGAAAGUCGGGCUUAGUGAUCCGGCGGUAUUGAGUGGAAAAGCCGUCGCUUAACGGAUAAAAGCUACCUCGGGGAUAACAGGCUGAUCUCCCCCAAGAGUCCACAUCGACGGGGAGGUUUGGCACCUCGAUGUCGGCUCGUCGCAUCCUGGGGCUGAAGCAGGUCCCAAGGGUUUGGCUGUUCGCCAAUUAAAGCGGCACGCGAGCUGGGUUCAGAACGUCGUGAGACAGUUCGGUCCCUAUCCAUCGUGGGCGUAGGAGUCAUGAGAGGAGCUGUUCCUAGUACGAGAGGACCGGAAUGGACGCACCACUGGUGCAACUGUUGUCGUGCCAACGGCAUAGCAGGGAAGCGAAGUGCGGAUGGGAUAAACGCUGAAGGCAUCUAAGCGUGAAGCCCACCUCAAGAAUAAGACUCCACAAUAGACCCCUGGAGGACUACCAGGUAGAUAGGUCAUCGGUGGAAGCGCUGUAAGGCGUGU
Molecule: ribosomal RNA, 2008 nt
Filed under: human gut metagenome
Description: bacterial LSU rRNA
Rfam family: Bacterial large subunit ribosomal RNA
Source: RNAcentral